UACGUAGGGUGCAAGCGUUACUCGGAAUUACUGGGCGUAAAGCGUGCGCAGGCGGUUUUGUAAGUCAGAUGUGAAAUCCCCGGGCUUAACCUGGGAACUGCGUUUGAAACUACAAGGCUAGAGUGUGGCAGAGGGGGGUGGAAUUCCCCGUGUAGCAGCGAAAUGCGUAGAGAUGUGGAGGAACACCGAUGGCGAAGGCAGCCCCCUGGGUUAAAACUGACGCUCAGGCACGAAAGCGUGGGGAGCAAACAGG
Molecule: ribosomal RNA, 253 nt
Filed under: uncultured bacterium
Lineage: Bacteria
Description: partial 16S ribosomal RNA
Rfam family: Bacterial small subunit ribosomal RNA
Source: RNAcentral